This 260-nucleotide long non-coding RNA is filed under the name Manihot esculenta (cassava). RNAcentral describes it as "long non-coding RNA (MESC_LNC006174)". Lineage: Eukaryota; Viridiplantae; Streptophyta; Magnoliopsida; Malpighiales; Euphorbiaceae. The record is from RNAcentral.
AAUACCUGGCAUAAAGCCGCGUGGCAUAUCUCUUUGCCUUCUUCUGAUCUGUCUCAUACGCUUGACCCACGUAUGGUAACAAUUCCAGGAACUUAUCUGUAUACUCAUCAACGCUCAUCUCCUCCGUCUGUCUCAACUGCUCAAACUCCACAACCUUUAGCUCCCUGGAACUGUCAGGAAAAGCCCACCCAGCAAAUUCGUUAGCGAACUCUUCCCAUGUCAUACUGUCUAUUUUGGGGUCCACAUAGUUCUUGAACCAU